UUUAUCGUGAGGUAUGCACUGAAGGAAGCCAAAUGCGAAGCAUUCAUGAACUCCAAAAAAAAAAAUGAAAACUUCCUGAAUAAACGGCAAAAGUCUGUACCGACGAACAGAAUUUAGCGAAGCGAUAUCACGAACACCAAAAAAAUAAUAAAAACUUGUGAGUAAAUUGCAUACGAGGCAUUUAGUAGGGGAUGAUCGUCCACAGCAACGUAAAGUCCGAAGAAUACAAAAUCUACUAGAUGUAGAUGCAGCGGGGAUAGACGGAAGGAAA
Molecule: non-coding RNA, 271 nt
Organism: Flavobacterium branchiophilum FL-15
Lineage: Bacteria; Pseudomonadati; Bacteroidota; Flavobacteriia; Flavobacteriales; Flavobacteriaceae
Source: Rfam